Molecule: ribosomal RNA, 381 nt
Filed under: uncultured bacterium
Lineage: Bacteria
Description: bacterial SSU rRNA
Rfam family: Bacterial small subunit ribosomal RNA
Source: RNAcentral
GACGAACGCUGGCGGCGUGCUUAACACAUGCAAGUCGAACGGUGAACCAGAGCUUGCUCUGGGGAUCAGUGGCGAACGGGUGAGUAACACGUGGGCAACCUGCCCCAGACUCUGGGAUAACCUCGGGAAACCGAUGCUAAUACCGGAUACGACCACUUCGGACAUCCGACGGUGGUGGAAAGUUUUUCGGUCUGGGAUGGGCCCGCGGCCUAUCAGCUAGUUGGUGGGGUAAUGGCCUACCAAGGCGACGACGGGUAGCCGGCCUGAGAGGGCGACCGGCCACACUGGAACUGAGACACGGUCCAGACUCCUACGGGAGGCAGCAGUGGGGAAUAUUGCACAAUGGGCGAAAGCCUGAUGCAGCGACGCCGCGUGAGGGAC